This 450-nucleotide ribosomal RNA is filed under the name uncultured beta proteobacterium. RNAcentral's name for it is "bacterial SSU rRNA". It matches the Rfam family "Bacterial small subunit ribosomal RNA", at positions 432 to 876 of the family's 1533-position model. The record is from RNAcentral. Lineage: Bacteria; Pseudomonadati; Pseudomonadota; Betaproteobacteria.
GCUUUUGUACGGAACGAAAAGCUUUGGGUUAAUACCCUGGAGUCAUGACGGUACCGUAAGAAUAAGCACCGGCUAACUACGUGCCAGCAGCCGCGGUAAUACGUAGGGUGCAAGCGUUAUCCGGAUUUACUGGGCGUAAAGCGUGCGCAGGCGGUUUUGUAAGACAGAGGUGAAAUCCCCGGGCUCAACCUGGGAACUGCCUUUGUGACUGCAAGGCUAGAGUACGGCAGAGGGGGAUGGAAUUCCGCGUGUAGCAGUGAAAUGCGUAGAUAUGCGGAGGAACACCGAUGGCGAAGGCAAUCCCCUGGGCCUGUACUGACGCUCAUGCACGAAAGCGUGGGGAGCAAACAGGAUUAGAUACCCUGGUAGUCCACGCCCUAAACGAUGUCAACUGGUUGUUGGGUCUUCAUUGACUCAGUAACGAAGCUAACGCGUGAAGUUGCCGCCUGG